RNAcentral lists this ribosomal RNA (486 nucleotides) under uncultured bacterium. RNAcentral describes it as "partial 16S ribosomal RNA". It matches the Rfam family "Bacterial small subunit ribosomal RNA", at positions 29 to 507 of the family's 1533-position model. The record is from RNAcentral.
AACGAACGCUGGCGGCGCGUCUUAACCAUGCAAGUCGAGCGGCAGGCCGCAAUGCCGAGAGCGGCGGACUGGUGAGUAACACGUGGAUAACGUACCCCGAUGUCCGGGACAGCCUGUAGAAAUAGAGGGUAAUACCGGAUAGAUCACUGUUUACGUGAGGUAGACAGCGGGAAAGGAGCUUCGGCUCCGCGACGGGAUCGGUCUGCGGCCCAUCAGCUGGACGGCGGGGUAAAGGCCCGCCGUGGCGAGGACGGGUAUCCGGCCUGAGAGGGCGGACGGACACAUUGGGACUGAGAUACGGCCCAGACUCCUACGGGAGGCAGCAGGUAAGAAUAUUCCGCAAUGGGGGGAACCCUGACGGAGCGACGCCGCGUGAACGAAGAAGGCCGGAAGGUUGUAAAGUUCUUUUCUGUCCGAGGAUUAAGUUUCGGAGGAAAUGCCGGGACGGUGACGGUAGGGCAGGAAUAAGCACCGGCUAAUUACGUG